CAGUCGCCGCGGUAAUACGAAGGGGGCUAGCGUUGUCCGGAUUUACUGGGCGUAAAGCGCACGUAGGCGGAUCGAUCAGUCAGGGGUGAAAUCCCAGAGCUCAACUCUGGAACUGCCUUUGAUACUGUCGAUCUGGAGUAUGGAAGAGGUGAGUGGAAUUCCGAGUGUAGAGGUGAAAUUCGUAGAUGUUCGGAGGAACACCAGCGGCGAAGGCGGCUCACUGGUCCAUUACUGACGCUGAGGUGCGAAAGCGUGGGGAGCAAACAGGAUUAGAUACCCGAGUAGUCCCUGUCUCUUAUAC
Molecule: ribosomal RNA, 301 nt
Filed under: uncultured bacterium
Lineage: Bacteria
Description: partial 16S ribosomal RNA
Rfam family: Bacterial small subunit ribosomal RNA
Source: RNAcentral